UCCGUUCUUUGUAUCUUGUAUGAAUAAUCUCUUGUAGGUUAAUUGGCUUGCAGCAAGGUUGAAACCCCACUCUGUAGUUUCUCUUCAGAUCUUGCAGUAGCAAAGCAAGGUAACUACGAGGGAGCUAAACUUCAGUUUGUUGCAUCUUACUUUGAGCAUAAUGACUUGCUUGCUUCUUGCACUUUAUUACAAGAUUUGUCGUCGUGCUAAUCACAGUUUGUUGCACCUUACUUUGACCAUAAUGGUAAGAUCAAUUUUUCCAUUCGCACAUGCAAAUCUAACAAAUGUCUGUAGAAAUUGAUUACUGGGAACUAAACUGAAGCUUGCUAUAUUUUAAAGAUCAACAAUACGCACAUGAUCGGUAUUUUUUAGUGAGAGUUGUAUUUCAGUAACAAAAAUUCUAGUUUUAGAGGAGGAACUAGGUCUCUAGAAAACCAGCACAAGUUAUACUGCAUAGUGAAAUAAACAAGUUAGCCUAGUGUUUGUUUUCAUUUUACAUCCCAUGUAUUACUGUGCUAGCAAGAGUUGAUUUCAUGUUCUGAGGCCAGGACCUUCACACCUUAGUUAAGCCACGCCACAAAAUUGCAAGUUUCAGGAUUCCAAUAAAUUAGCUCCAUGCUAGCAACUGUACUAGUUAAAGCAUACAGUGCGAUAAAAUCUUUUCAAGUUAAAGCAUAUGAACUGAAUAUCCACACAACGAUUAUCUUUCAGAUAAGGAUUUUUUUUACCUGUAUCUGUUGGCCAUUUUGGUCUAAUUAUAUCACUAAUUAUGAUUUGUUAAUUUACCUGAGCUUAGAGGUAUAACACCGAGUCUCUUAUUUCAAAGUUGUAUAUACAUUAUGUGUUGGUAUUUCGCACACCAAGCAACAUUCACUUAAAUUUGAACAAUUCAGUUUGGUUCUUGUAGGCCAACUAAAUUUCAAUUACAAUAACAUUAUACUUCAUCCCUCUUACAACUAUUAGUAUUAUCAUUUCUUAGGGAAUGUGAUGCAAGACUGGAGAGUGGCAAAGUGGCAGAUGACAUCUAUGUGGAGGGUGAUGAUGAUCCAUGUGGCAAUGAGCAAUAUGAUAACUAGGGCGAUGACGGUGAUAAACUCGACGUUCUCUUCAAGUAAUGCAACAAAGAGAAGUUCUAAAGUUUGUGGAAAAUUUAGCUUAUGUAAAAUCUUUGUACAAGUUACUACUUUGUUUUGUAUUUGACAAUUUUAAGAUGGAUCAUAAUGGUCAAUGUAAUUUGGAUGCAACUAAUUAGGCCUAUGAUACUUUCCGAGGUUAUCCUAAAUAAAUAUAUAUUAUGGUCUUUUGUGAUGUGUGCUUGUGUACUUAUGAGAUGUAUUUGAAAUGCAAUAUUCUGAAAUGCUAC
This 1363-nucleotide long non-coding RNA is filed under the name Triticum aestivum (bread wheat). RNAcentral describes it as "long non-coding RNA (TAES_LNC010275)". Lineage: Eukaryota; Viridiplantae; Streptophyta; Magnoliopsida; Poales; Poaceae. The record is from RNAcentral.